UACGUAGGGUGCAAGCGUUGUCCGGAAUUAUUGGGCGUAAAGAGCUCGUAGGCGGAUCUGCAAGUCGGGGGUGAAAUCCCGAGGCUCAACCUCGGAACUGCCUUCGAUACUGCGGGUCUCGAGUCCGGGAGAGGUGAGUGGAAUUCCUAGUGUAGAGGUGAAAUUCGUAGAUAUUAGGAAGAACACCAGUGGCGAAGGCGGCUCACUGGCCCGGUACUGACGCUGAGGCGCGAAAGCGUGGGGAGCAAACAGG
Molecule: ribosomal RNA, 253 nt
Filed under: uncultured bacterium
Lineage: Bacteria
Description: partial 16S ribosomal RNA
Rfam family: Bacterial small subunit ribosomal RNA
Source: RNAcentral